GACGAACGCUGGCGGCGUGCUUAACACAUGCAAGUCGAACGGGCCUUGUCCCCUUUUUUUUGGGGGUGGGGUUAGUGGCGAACGGGUGAGUAACACGUGAGUAACCUGCCCCUCACUUCUGGAUAACCGCUUGAAAGGGUGGCUAAUACGGGGUGUUCUGGCCUGCUCGCAUGGGUGGGUUUGGAAAGAUUCGACCGGUUUUGGUUGUUUUGGUUGGGGAUGGGCUCGCGGCCUAUCAGCUUGUUGGUGGGGUGAUGGCCUGCCAAGGCUUUGACGGGUAGCCGGCCUGAGAGGGUGGGCGGUCACGCUGGGACUGAGACACGGCCCAGACUCCUACGGGAGGCAGCAGUGGGGAAUAUUGCACAAUGGGCGCAAGCCUGAUGCAGCGACGCAGCGUGAGGGAUGGAGGCCUUCGGGUUGUGAACCUCUUUCGCCAGUGAAGAAGGUCCUGCUCUUUGUGGUGGGGUUGACGGUAGCUGGGUUAAUGAAGCGCCGGCUAACUACGUG
This 507-nucleotide ribosomal RNA is filed under the name uncultured bacterium. RNAcentral describes it as "partial 16S ribosomal RNA". It matches the Rfam family "Bacterial small subunit ribosomal RNA", at positions 28 to 507 of the family's 1533-position model. The record is from RNAcentral.